Molecule: long non-coding RNA, 828 nt
Filed under: Oryctolagus cuniculus (rabbit)
Lineage: Eukaryota; Metazoa; Chordata; Mammalia; Lagomorpha; Leporidae
Description: lncRNA (ENSOCUG00000032626.1)
Source: RNAcentral
AUGACUGAUGAUGACCCUGAGACAACGGGAGAGAGAACAAGAACCCCAAGAAGAGGAGCGUUUGAUGGAAGAAAAGAAAAAGAAAAAGCAGGAAGAAAAGAAGAAGAAAGAAAGUGCUCAGAAAAAGGUCUGCUGCCCCACUGCGCGCUCACCCUGCCCCACUGCGCUCACCCUGCCCCACUGUGCACGCACUCACCCUGCCCCACUGUACACUCACCCUGCCCCACUGUGUGCUCACCCUGCCCCACUGUGCACUCACCCUGCCCCACUGUGCUCACCUGCCCCACUGUGCGCUCACCCUGCCUCACUGUGCUCACCCUGCCCUUGCUCGCUGCACGGGGAAUCGCUCACCCUGCCCCACUACGCGCUCACCUUGCCCCACUGUGCACUUACCCUGCCCCACUGUGCACUCACCCUGCCCCACUGCGCUCACCCUGCCCCACUACACGCUCACCCUGCCCCACUGUGCGCUCACCCUGCCUCAGUGUGUGCUCACCCUGCCCCACUGCGCUCACCCUGCCCCACUGUGCUCACCCUGCCCCACUAUGUGCUCACCCUGCCUCACUGUGCUCACCCUGCCCCACUGUGCUCACCCUGCCCCACUACGCGCUCACUCUGCCCCACUGUGCACGCGCUCACCCUGCCCCACUGCGCUCACCCUGCCCCACUACGCGCUCACCCUGCCCCACUGUGCGCUCACCCUGCCUCAGUGCGUGCUCACCCUGCCCUCGCUCGCUCCACGGCGGAAUCGCUGUUCUGUCGCUUCUUAACAUCCGUGUGCUGAACCUGCGACCAGUAAAUACGGGCUUUGUGCUGUGGAGUAAAUGA